AGGUAAUUUUUAUUAAAAAUAAUAUUAAAUAUUAUUUUAUUUUAAAUAUAAAAUUAUUAGAUUAAUUAAUUUGAAAUAUGUAUGUUUAUUAUAGUAAAAAGUAUUGUGAAAGAAAAAUAAUGUUUAUUUUAAAGAUAAAUUAAUUUUUUGUACCUUGUGUAUCAGGGUUUAUUAAUUAAUAAUUUUAAAUAAAGUUUUUUCGAAUUUAAAAGAGCUAAUAAAUUAAUAUUUUUAUUGUAAAAUAAUUAUUUUAAAUAGUUUAUUAGUAAUUAAAAGUUAUACGUUUUUAAAUAUAUCUAAUUUUUUAAGAAAUAAAUUUAAUUUAUUUAUUAUUAAUAUAGUUAUUUUUAAUUAUUAUAUAUUAAUAAUAUAAAAUAUUUUUAGGGAUAAGCUUGAAGAUAUCUAUUUAAUAAAAAUUAAAUUUUAAAUUAAAAUUAGGAUUAAAAAUUUUCAAAUUUUAAAAUAUGUUAUUCUUUAUUUUUAUAUUAUUAAGAUUUUUAUUUUUAUAAAUAUUUUAUUAAAAUAUAUUUUUAAUUUAUUAAAAAAUAGUAAUAAUGAUAAAAUUAGUAUAUAAAUUUUUAUAGAUAUAAAAAAUUUUAAGGUUAAAAAAAGUAAUUCGGCAAAAAUUUUUUCACCUGUUUAUUAAAAACAUGUCUUUUUGUUAUAUAUUUAAAGUCAUACCUGCCCACUGAUUGUUUAAAUGGCCGCGGUAUUUUGACCGUGCUAAGGUAGCAUAAUCAUUAGUUUUUUUAUUGAAAGCUGGAAUGAAAGGUUGGAUGAAAAAAAAACUGUCUCUUUUUAAAUUUUAUAUAAUUUUAUUUUUUAGUUAAAAAGCUAAGAUAAUUUUAAAAGACGAGAAGACCCUGUAGAGUUUUAUAAGUAUUUUAUUAUUUUAAUUUUUAAUAUAAUAUUUAUUUGGUUGGGGUGAUUUAAAAAUUUAAUAAACUUUUUUUUUCUUUUUAUAUUUAUAAAUAAGUAUUUGAUCUAAUAAUUAUUGAUUAAAAGAAAAAAUUACCUUAGGGAUAACAGCGUAAUUUUAUUGGAGAGUUCAAAUCGAUAAUAAAGAUUGCGACCUCGAUGUUGGAUUAAAAUUUAUAAUUGGUGUAGAAAUUAAUUAAUUAAGUCUGUUCGACUUUUAAAAUUUUACAUGAUCUGAGUUUAAACCGGUGUGAGCCAGGUUGGUUUCUAUCUUUAAUUAGUUAAUAUAUUUUAGUACGAAAGGACCAAAUAUAUAAAUAAAAUUUUUAUAUUGAGAAAAGA
This 1260-nucleotide ribosomal RNA is filed under the name Hoplasoma unicolor. RNAcentral describes it as "large subunit ribosomal RNA". The stretch from base 1022 to 1180 matches the Rfam family "Archaeal large subunit ribosomal RNA", at positions 2542 to 2701 of the family's 2987-position model. Lineage: Eukaryota; Metazoa; Arthropoda; Insecta; Coleoptera; Chrysomelidae. The record is from RNAcentral.